CCAUUCACGCAACUCAUUGUUCUGCCACUGCUUUUGUUCAGCAUCCAACAACACAGCUUUGAUUAUAGAUGAAGUGUCUUUGAUCCGUCGUAAAUCGUCAUACACACCUAGUGCCAAGGAAGCUUCAUCAAGAACUCGAGAAGUAAGUUUGCCUAUGAAUGUCUCGGCAACACUGAAGAGGAGUGAUUCUGCCAUAUGGAAUAAUUUUGGCUAUGUUGUUUUUGAUAAGGUAGAAGUGAGAAUGAAAGAGCAGGGUUAAGAAUGCAAUGGUGGAUUACAGGAGCCAAGAAGAAUUAUAUAGAUAGUAAGUCAAUGGCUAGCUAGCAAAAGUCUUUUAGUUUUAACAUGUUGUUCAGCAACAGCUGGAAAUUAGAUGUGAACUAGAUAAAUAAAGAGUUAAGACUCGCUCUGUGUGG
Molecule: long non-coding RNA, 416 nt
Filed under: Trifolium pratense (red clover)
Lineage: Eukaryota; Viridiplantae; Streptophyta; Magnoliopsida; Fabales; Fabaceae
Description: long non-coding RNA (TPRA_LNC010086)
Source: RNAcentral